GGACUGGAGAAACAGAAGAAGGGGCUAUUAUUGCAACCUGAGUGUUGGAGAAGGGGUCACACAAAAUUUUCUUCAGUGUUAAUAAUGUUGCUGGUUCAAGAAGCACAGUGUGAGAAGUAUUGAAUUAAAGAAUGAGCCUGGAAGAACAGAUAAGCAGAAGGAUGAGCAAACACGGAAGAGGAGAGGAGGAAGAGGGAAGACUGAGACAAUGUGCAGCAAGGCAGAGGAAGCAAAGAGGAAAAGGAUGCAAUUCUUCUGAAGUGAGUGGCCAAAGGACCUGUUCCAGAAUAUGGAUGCCCAACAUUUAAUUUGAGGUUUUUGUUUUUGUUGGCAUUUUGAGAUGUAAGCCUCAUCUCCAUUUCUUCUUCCCUUCUUUCCAAAACCCAACACAACUUCUUUAACGUAACCUACUCUCACAAAGGCAUGUGUUUGUGUACCUCUUACUGCUGUUUUCAUUUUUGCUAUUCUGCAUUUGUGUGUGUGUUUGCAAUUCAGGGAAGGGCUAAUUUUCUGUAAUUGAGUAAACUGGGUUUGGGGUAAAUGUUAUAUACAAGUAAUCUGGGAUGGAGGGUGCAAACAUCAAGGCAGGAAUGUAAUUUGUUAGGAUUUUGCAUCAAUUUGGAGGAGAAAUUGAAUUUCCAUGAACCAUACAUUUGGAGACUGGAUCCAAAAUUAAGUAGGUCUUAAAGAGAGUACUGGAUGUAGUUCCUGCCCUCAUGAAACUAGUGGAGAGAUGACAAAUGAAAAUCAAUGUGGCCAAGAUACUUGCGGCUCAGUGAAUAUCCACGUAUUCCUGCUUAUUUCCAACCUCUCUUGUAAUUUGGUAUGGCUGUAUGGCCAAUUCUAGAAAAUAGUCUAUGAAAGAACAUUUCAGUUAACAUUUUCUGACCAAAGCAUAUAAAAGUCAGUGUGAAAAUCUGUAGCUCUCUUCGCCAUGAAAGCCACAUGUUAUGGAGAGUGUGGCUACCAUGUCCAAGGUGUCUGAGUCCCUGAGCUAUCAUGUGAAAACAGUUGCCAAGGUAUCUGAGUCCCUGAGCAGUCAUGUAAAAACAGUUGCCCUAAAGAGUCACCAAGUCCACAGACGACUUAGCAUAAUGGAGAAAUAUAAUACCAUGUGUUACUUCACCACAAUUUCAGGAGGAGCUUAGCUUAAUACUAUGAUUAAGGGCAAUACAGUGUUAUGGACACUAAGAUACAAAUAUGGAUGGGGUAUUUUGGAAGGCAAAGGAGGGGAAUUAAAUUUUAUUGGUGGAAAGCAAUGUCAGAAAAAAGCAUCUUGCAAUUUAACUUUUAAGGAAGCAACAAAGUAAACAUCAGAGAGUAAUGAACAGAAAAUUGGAUUAAAAAGAGAAAAAUACCUAAUGCAUGCGGGGUUUAAAACCUAGAUGACGGGUUGAUAGGUACAGCAAACCACCAUG
Molecule: long non-coding RNA, 1418 nt
Filed under: Homo sapiens (human)
Lineage: Eukaryota; Metazoa; Chordata; Mammalia; Primates; Hominidae
Description: HSALNT0203530
Source: RNAcentral